AGUGAACGCUGGCGGUAGGCCUAACACAUGCAAGUCGAACGGCAGCACAGUAAGAGCUUGCUCUUACGGGUGGCGAGUGGCGGACGGGUGAGGAAUACAUCGGAAUCUACUUUUUCGUGGGGGAUAACGUAGGGAAACUUACGCUAAUACCGCAUACGACCUACGGGUGAAAGCAGGGGAUCUUCGGACCUUGCGCGAUUGAAUGAGCCGAUGUCGGAUUAGCUAGUUGGCGGGGUAAAGGCCCACCAAGGCGACGAUCCGUAGCUGGUCUGAGAGGAUGAUCAGCCACACUGGAACUGAGACACGGUCCAGACUCCUACGGGAGGCAGCAGUGGGGAAUAUUGGACAAUGGGCGCAAGCCUGAUCCAGCCAUACCGCGUGGGUGAAGAAGGCCUUCGGGUUGUAAAGCCCUUUUGUUGGGAAAGAAAGGCAGCAGGUUAAUACCCCGCUGUUCUGACGGUACCAAAAGAAUAAGCACCGGCUAACUUCGUG
Molecule: ribosomal RNA, 492 nt
Filed under: uncultured bacterium
Lineage: Bacteria
Description: partial 16S ribosomal RNA
Rfam family: Bacterial small subunit ribosomal RNA
Source: RNAcentral